RNAcentral lists this ribosomal RNA (451 nucleotides) under uncultured bacterium. Its description in RNAcentral is "bacterial SSU rRNA". It matches the Rfam family "Bacterial small subunit ribosomal RNA", at positions 354 to 796 of the family's 1533-position model. The record is from RNAcentral.
GUGGGGAAUAUUGGACAAUGGGGGGAACCCUGAUCCAGCCAUGCCGCGUGUGUGAAGAAGGCCUUUUGGUUGUAAAGCACUUUAAGCGAGGAGGAGGCUACCUUGGUUAAUACCUAGGGAUAGUGGACGUUACUCGCAGAAUAAGCACCGGCUAACUCUGUGCCAGCAGCCGCGGUAAUACAGAGGGUGCGAGCGUUAAUCGGAUUUACUGGGCGUAAAGCGUGCGUAGGCGGCUUUUUAAGUCGGAUGUGAAAUCCCCGAGCUUAACUUGGGAAUUGCAUUCGAUACUGGGAAGCUAGAGUAUGGGAGAGGAUGGUAGAAUUCCAGGUGUAGCGGUGAAAUGCGUAGAGAUCUGGAGGAAUACCGAUGGCGAAGGCAGCCAUCUGGCCUAAUACUGACGCUGAGGCACGAAAGCAUGGGGAGCAAACAGGAUUAGAAACCCUAGUAGUCC